GAUGAACGCUGGCGGCGUGCUUAACACAUGCAAGUCGAACGAAGCGAUAGAAACGGAACAUUUCGGUGGGAAGUAUUUAUUGACUGAGUGGCGGACGGGUGAGUAACGCGUGGAUAACCUGCCUCAUACAGGGGGAUAACAGUUAGAAAUGACUGCUAAUACCGCAUAAGCGCACAGGACCGCAUGGUCUGGUGUGAAAAACUCCGGUGGUAUGAGAUGGAUCCGCGUCUGAUUAGCUAGUUGGAGGGGUAACGGCCCACCAAGGCAACGAUCAGUAGCCGGCCUGAGAGGGCGACCGGCCACAUUGGGACUGAGACACGGCCCAAACUCCUACGGGAGGCAGCAGUGAGGAAUAUUGGUCAAUGGGCGAGAGCCUGAACCAGCCAAGUAGCGUGAAGGAUGACUGCCCUAUGGGUUGUAAACUUCUUUUAUAUGGGAAUAAAUGACAUUACGUGUAGUGUUUUGUAUGUACCAUUAUGAAUAAGCAUCGGCUAACUCCGUGCCAGCAGCCGCCGUAACAC
This 521-nucleotide ribosomal RNA is filed under the name uncultured bacterium. RNAcentral's name for it is "bacterial SSU rRNA". It matches the Rfam family "Bacterial small subunit ribosomal RNA", at positions 28 to 526 of the family's 1533-position model. The record is from RNAcentral.